This 834-nucleotide ribosomal RNA is filed under the name archaeon enrichment culture. RNAcentral's name for it is "bacterial SSU rRNA". It matches the Rfam family "Archaeal small subunit ribosomal RNA", at positions 20 to 859 of the family's 1478-position model. The record is from RNAcentral.
GCGGCCACUGCUAUCAAGUUCCGACUAAGCCAUGCGAGUCAAGGUAUCGUAAGAUGCCGGCAAACUGCUCAGUAACACGUGGAUAAUCUAACCUUGAGUAAGGGAUAACUUCGGGAAACUGAAGGUAAUACCUUAUAAUUGCUUAAAACUGGAAUGUUUUUGCAAUAAAAGUUACGACGCUCAAGGAUGAGUCUGCGACCUAUCAGGUAGUAGGUGGUGUAAUGGACCACCUAGCCUCAGACGGGUACGGGCCCUGGGAGGGGUAGCCCGGAGAUGGACUCUGGGACAUAAGUCCAGGCCCUACGGGGCGCAGCAGGCGCGAACACUGUGCAAUGCGCGAAAGCGCGACACGGGGAGCUUGAGUGUCUUGGCAUAGCCAAGACUUUUCUCAUUCCUAAAAAGCAUGAGGAAUAAGUGCUGGGUAAGACGGGUGCCAGCCGCCGCGAUAACACCCGCAGCACGAGUAGUGGUCACUUUUAUUGAGCCUAAAGCGUUCGUAGCCGGUUUUGUAAAUCUUCAGAUAAAGCCUGAAGCUUAACUCCAGAAAGUCUGAAGAGACUGCAAGACUUGAGAUCGGGUGAGGUUAAACGUACUUUCAGGGUAGGGGUAAAAUCCUGUAAUCCCGGAAGGACGACCAGUGGCGAAAGCGUUUAACUAGAACGAAUCUGACGGUAAGGAACGAAGGCUAGGGUAGCAAACCGGAUUAGAUACCCGGGUAGUCCUAGCUGUAAACAUUGCCCAUUUGAUGUUGCUUUUCCGUUGAGGGAAGGCAGUGUCGGAGCGAAGGUGUUAAAUGGGCCGCUUGGGAAGUAUGGUCGCAAGACUGAAACUUAA